RNAcentral lists this small RNA (684 nucleotides) under Arabidopsis thaliana (thale cress). RNAcentral's name for it is "ATSL265900". The record is from RNAcentral. Lineage: Eukaryota; Viridiplantae; Streptophyta; Magnoliopsida; Brassicales; Brassicaceae.
UUGAUAAGUGUGUAUUUUGCAUGUUUUGAGCAUCCAUUUGUCAUCACUUUAGCAUCAUAUCAUCACUGUUUUAUACCAUUUCACAUCAUUUGUCAUCACUUUGCAUGUUUAGGAUAGUUUUGCAUGCAUGUUGCAUAUUUGCGUUGAUUUCAGGUGAUUUAGAGCUAUUGACGAGCUAUCUGGAAGAAGCGGACCUGAUCAUGACAAACCACUCGACCCAGAGGUCGAGUAGGAGCUUCAAGAUCUCAAGAGACCACUCGACCACCAGGUCGCGUAGAGGACAUCACCACUUCACUUCACCACUCGACCCCGAGGUCGAGUGCCCUCGUCUCCAUCACCAGACCAACACUCGAUCACGUCACUCGACCUCGAGGUCGAGUGCCUUCACCUUCACCGCCAGACCACUACUCGACCUCAUCACUCUACCUAGAGGUCGAGUAUCACCAUCACACCACUCGACUGCUUACUCGAUGACAAGCUUCAGAGCCUUCUUCAUUCCGCACUCAACCAGACACUCGAGCACAAGGAAGAAAAGAAGACUCCAGCUAUUCACUCGACCUCUCACUCGACCACCUGGGUCGAGCACAGUUCUUAAUCCGUCCCAAUACUUCGUCGUUUUGAGUAUUAGGGUUUCGGGAUAUUUGGCUAUAAGUAGCAUGUACUUCUCAUUUUCGCAGGAAGAAG